RNAcentral lists this ribosomal RNA (212 nucleotides) under uncultured Staphylococcus sp. Its description in RNAcentral is "partial 16S ribosomal RNA". It matches the Rfam family "Bacterial small subunit ribosomal RNA", at positions 150 to 355 of the family's 1533-position model. The record is from RNAcentral. Lineage: Bacteria; Bacillati; Bacillota; Bacilli; Caryophanales; Staphylococcaceae.
CGGGAAACCGGAGCUAAUACCGGAUAAUAUUUCGAACCGCAUGGUUCGAUAGUGAAAGAUGGUUUUGCUAUCACUUAUAGAUGGACCCGCGCCGUAUUAGCUAGUUGGUAAGGUAACGGCUUACCAAGGCGACGAUACGUAGCCGACCUGAGAGGGUGAUCGGCCACACUGGAACUGAGACACGGUCCAGACUCCUACGGGAGGCAGCAGUU